AUUCCUCCUCCUCAUGAUCGCCGUAGUCGAAGAAGAAGAAUCGCGAUUUUCAUCCGAGUGAUCAGAACGUGAAAUUUCACAAAAUCGGGAACUCAUUGAAGUUUCUAGAAGCUCCGAUCCUUUGAGAACGUAAUCGUGACCGUUCGUUGGAUGAAUCAAUUCGUUCUCCGAUAAAUCGUGCCACACGUAUCCAUUUUUAUAGCUCCUGUAAAAAAUCAUCAAAUUUUAUACAUAAAAUUGCAAAUAAAACAAAAAAUAAUCGUUUAUUUUAUCUGAAAUAUAAUUUUUUUUUUUUGCAGAAACUAAAGUACCGCUUGCAAGACCAGGAGAACAAAUAAGCCAUGCCUUUUCCUCUCAGUAAGUUCAACCGAUUUAGCACAUCUGAGAAUAAGAGCAAAUAAAAAAUCAACAAUCAAUAUAGUGUUAUAUUUGAAAAUUCUUUAAUUUUAACACACUGAAAAUUCCAUAAAUCGCAGUCAAUAUAGUGUUAUAUCAAUUACCUAUGAGAUAGAGUCCAUCAGAGGAAGAGAACGGAACUUCAAUGAAAUGAGGAUGCUCAAGUUGGCCAUUUCUGCACAGAUAAUAAAUAACAGGGACAGUUUUGAAAGCCUUAGGUU
RNAcentral lists this long non-coding RNA (617 nucleotides) under Nicotiana tabacum (common tobacco). Its description in RNAcentral is "long non-coding RNA (NTAB_LNC012888)". The record is from RNAcentral. Lineage: Eukaryota; Viridiplantae; Streptophyta; Magnoliopsida; Solanales; Solanaceae.